This 1593-nucleotide long non-coding RNA is filed under the name Heterocephalus glaber (naked mole-rat). Its description in RNAcentral is "lncRNA (ENSHGLG00000036807.1)". The record is from RNAcentral. Lineage: Eukaryota; Metazoa; Chordata; Mammalia; Rodentia; Bathyergidae.
CCCCUCCCCACUUCAGCAACUGUGGCUCUCAUUGCUCUUGAGAAUGUACUUGAGGAGAAGGCCAACCUUCCGGCGGGUCGUGAGUAGGGCUUCCUCGCUGCCUCCCUCCCCAGAUCCCCGCUUUUCCAUGCCACUGUCAGCAGCCGCCUCCAGGCUGAUGUCCCGCUGGAGCUCGUCCUCCUCCAGGGCCUUGAUACGGACCCGAUGGGCAUCCUCAGCCAACUCAUUGAGGCAGCCCUGGAGCAUGGUGUAGACGGUGCCGAAGCUGAUGCCACCAGCCACCAGUGUGCCGAACGUAGGGAUGCCCCUCUCAAAGGCACGGGCCACCUUCAUGGCGCCAUCGGCCGACGGUGAGUAGAGCCGCAGGACGGUCUCCGGCGAGACCUCGUUGGCUAGCAGGGAGCGGGUGACGGAGAGCAGGUCGCCCGGCUGCUUGCCCACCUGUUCGGCCAGCUUGGCCAGCGAGUCGUCAUCCAGGCCGAAGCUGCGGUGGUAGGCGCGCAGUGAGCGGAUGAGCAGGGCAUCGUCAUAGGCGGCUGCCAGCCCUGGCACGGGCAGGGCCUGGAUGAUGCCCGACACCAGGGCCGUCCUGAGCACUUGCUCCCGGAGCAUGGCCUUCUUCUGCUGUAGGGCCUCCAGCGAGAUAUCGGGCAGCGACAGCUGGCCAGCGUGGCACCGGUGGGCAGGCAGGUCAUGCUCCCAGGUGGACACGAGCAUUGGGAAGUCAUCGCAGGAUGGCUAGAGGUUGGACACGAGGAAGAGGCGGGGGUCGGGCACGCCGACUGCCCGAAGCCGCUCCGCACAGUGGUCUCAGAUCUCCUGGAGGACAGUGGCCUUGCUGAAGCCCGAGGGCCGCUGGCUGCAUGUGGCCACCAGUUCCUCGUCCACCUUGGUGCGCACGAAGUAGAACUUCUUGCCCUGGCGCAGGAUCUCAGAGGCCAGGCGGGUCUCCACGGCCCCGCAGCAGCGGGGCGACACCAGCAGGAAGAAGUCGUAGCAGCUAAAGUCCACCUGCUUCAGGUACUUGUUGGCUGGGCAGCCCGGAGAGCCAGCCCCUGGGAGGUCCCACAGCAUCACAUCGGAAAGCUGCGGGUGUGGGUAGGGAGAGGGCUGCAUCAUGGUCUCCACGACACCCGUGAGGGCCGCGCCAGGGUCCUCGGCCCCCAGGCCACGCAGGGCAUUGAUGAGGGACGACUUGCCGGCCCCCAACUCGCCUAUGACGCCCACCUCCAGCCGGAUGUUGUCCAAGGAGGCCAGCAGCUCUCGAAGGCGAGAGGUGGCUUGGGGAAUGUCGCCAGACUCGAAGGCUGUGCGCAAGGCCUCCAGCUCUUCCUUGUUCAUAAGGAUGGUGCUCUCCUCCCCAGGCACGGCCGGCAACUUGAGAGUAGCCAUGGUGACCCGUGGUUGAGAGAGCAGCAGGGGACAAGGGAGUCACAGGAUGUGAUCCUCAACGUCUUUGGAGGAGAAGAGAGCUGGUCACACACCUCGUGGGCCUUGGGGUGGGCAGAAAGAGGGGUAUCAAGGAUGUGAGGCAGCCCCUCUGCAACCCACAGCCCUCUCCUCCUCAGGAACCCGGCAUACACUGGGCACACA